Molecule: ribosomal RNA, 774 nt
Filed under: uncultured Neocallimastigales
Lineage: Eukaryota; Fungi; Neocallimastigomycota; Neocallimastigomycetes; Neocallimastigales
Description: partial large subunit ribosomal RNA
Rfam family: Eukaryotic large subunit ribosomal RNA
Source: RNAcentral
GUACACGCUGUGACUAGCAUAUCAAUAAGCGGAGGAAAAGAAACUAACAAGGAUUCCCCUAGUAACGGCGAGUGAAGCGGGAAGAGCUCAAAUUUGAAAUCUUAAAGGGUUUCCCUUUACGAAUUGUAGUUUAAAGAAGUGUUUUCUGUUGAGGUUUUGGUAAAAGUUCUUUGGAAUAGGACAUCAUAGAGGGUGAGAAUCCCGUAUUUGACCUUUACUUUCAACUUUGUGAUACACUUUCAAAGAGUCGGAUUGUUUGGGAAUGCAGUCCAAAAUGGGUGGUAAAUUUCAUCUAAAGCUAAAUAUUGGCGAGAGACCGAUAGCGAACAAGUACCGUGAGGGAAAGAUGAAAAGAACUUUGAAAAGAGAGUUAAACAGUACGUGAAAUUGUCAAAAGGGAAGCGUUUGACACCAGUGUUGUUUUUCUGAAAAUCAGUUAAAGAACUGUUUAUGCUAAGCUGUUUAGACUUUAUCAGCUAACUGUUUAGUUUUGAGCUUUUCUUUAAUGCACUUUUCAGUUAACAAGUCAACAUCAAUUUCUUUUGCUGUAAAAAAGCUUGAGGAAGGUGGCUUGAGAUUCGUCUUAAGUGUUUAUAGCCUCUUGCCUAUGCAGUCGGAGAGAUUGAGGUCUGCAGCGUAGAUCCUUCGGGGCUAAAUGCAUUUGUGCUAAGUUAUAGCAUUUUAUAGACAACUUGUUGACUAUGAUUUGUCUUGUAGCUUACUCGCUUAUGUUAUUUUACCUACGCUUAGGAUGUUGACGCGCGUGUGUGCGUG